RNAcentral lists this ribosomal RNA (1086 nucleotides) under Triticum aestivum (bread wheat). Its description in RNAcentral is "partial small subunit ribosomal RNA". Lineage: Eukaryota; Viridiplantae; Streptophyta; Magnoliopsida; Poales; Poaceae. The record is from RNAcentral.
AUGAGCAGCGUGGUGAUCAAUAAGUACCCGUUGGUGGUCGUCCAGCCAUCCGAGCCGGUCACUGCGACCGGCAGCGAGAUCGCCCUCUCCACCUACGACAAAGUAGUCCCUAUGGUGGAGACGGUGUUCUGUGUGUACGAGCAUCCCAUCCAGGAGCCUGCCGAGAUCAUAAGAAGAGGGCUCUCGCAAGCACUAGUCCACUACUACCCUAUCGCUGGCCGCCUUGCCACCGGAGCCACCUCCGGCGACGUCGUCAUCAAAUGCACUGGCGAGGGCGUGUCGUUCGUUGCAGCGUCUGCGAACUGCGCCAUCAAGGACGUGGCGGACCUGUGUGACUCAUCGCUGCAAGAAGAGCUCGCGCUCUACUACCCGGCAGUUGGUUUCAGCCACUCGGAGCCUUUGAUGCUGAUGCAGGUGACGGUCUUCUCUUGCGGCGGGUGUAUCGUGGGGCUAACAUGGAACCACCAACUCUGCGAUGGCAUUGGGCUCGCUCAGUUUUUCCGGGCGGUCGGCGAGCUUGCCCGCGGGCUGCCAUCGCCGUCCGUCGUCCCGGUCAGAUCGGCCGACUCGCUCAUGUUCGAUCUGCCUGCAUCCGUCGCAAACUGUGCGCGGAUUGCGGCUACCCUCCAACCAUUCCCGAGGGCGUCCCAGAACAUCACUCGACCAUCUAGCUUAAUCGAUGGCAUCAGACGCAGGUACUCCAUGAGUAGCAAUGAUGGGCCAUGCACGGUGUUCGAGGCAGUGGCCGCGGUGCUAUGGCGGUGCCGGACCCGUGCAAUCCGGUCCGACCCGGACAGCCUCGUCAUGCUCUCUUUCACGGCUGAUGCACGCAAGUAUGCGUCGGCCAAGAAGGGCUAUUACGGCAACUGUGUCACCAUACACCUGGUUGCGGCGACCAGUGGCAUGGUGACAAACGGAGUCGUCGUAGACCUGGUGAAAAUGAUCCACCGUGCCAAGGUUCCGAUGCCCGACCAGUCCAUCAUGGAUGAGUUGCAGCGCCAGCAUGGAUACAAUCUUCCGCAAGGACGACAGCAUCUCCAACAGUCGCCCCAAACGACGCGCGCGCGCGGUAAACGCAGCUUUUAG